UCCGUAGGUGAACCUGCGGAAGGAUCAUUAGUGAUUGCCUUUAUAGGCUUAAAACUAUAUCCACUUACACCUGUGAACUGCUCUGUUACCUGGUGCAAAUCAGGUAUUUUUACAAACAAUGUGUAAUGAACGUCGUUUUAUUAUAACAAAAUAAAACUUUCAACAACGGAUCUCUUGGCUCUCGCAUCGAUGAAGAACGCAGCGAAUUGCGAUAAGUAAUGUGGAUUGCAGAAUUCAGUGAAUCAUCGAAUCUUUGAACGCAGCUUGCGCUCUCUGGUAUUCCGGAGAGCAUGCCUGUUUCAGUGUCAUGAAAUCUCAACCACUAGGGUUUCCUAAUGGAUUGGAUAUGGGCGUCUGCGAUCUCUGAUCGCUCGCCUUAAAAGAGUUAGCAAGUUUGACAUUAAUGUCUGGUGUAAUAAGUUUCACUGGGUCCAUUGUGUUGAAGCGUGCUUCUAAUCGUCCGCAAGGACAAUUACUUUGACUCUGGCCUGAAAUCAGGUAGGACUACCCGCUGAACUUAAGCAUAUCAAUAAGCGGAGGA
RNAcentral lists this ribosomal RNA (541 nucleotides) under uncultured Basidiomycota. RNAcentral describes it as "partial 18S ribosomal RNA". The stretch from base 155 to 308 matches the Rfam family "5.8S ribosomal RNA". The record is from RNAcentral. Lineage: Eukaryota; Fungi; Basidiomycota.